Molecule: ribosomal RNA, 301 nt
Filed under: uncultured bacterium
Lineage: Bacteria
Description: partial 16S ribosomal RNA
Rfam family: Bacterial small subunit ribosomal RNA
Source: RNAcentral
CAGCCGCCGCGGUAACACGUAGGUGGCAAGCGUUGUCCGGAAUUAUUGGGCGUAAAGGGCUCGCAGGCGGUCUCUUAAGUCUGAUGUGAAAGCCCCCGGCUCAACCGGGGAGGGUCAUUGGAAACUGGGAAACUUGAGUGCAGAAGAGGAGAGUGGAAUUCCACGUGUAGCGGUGAAAUGCGUAGAGAUGUGGAGGAACACCAGUGGCGAAGGCGACUCUCUGGUCUGUAACUGACGCUGAGGAGCGAAAGCGUGGGGAGCGAACAGGAUUAGAUACCCGAGUAGUCCCUGUCUCUUAUAC